Molecule: ribosomal RNA, 246 nt
Filed under: uncultured bacterium
Lineage: Bacteria
Description: partial 16S ribosomal RNA
Rfam family: Bacterial small subunit ribosomal RNA
Source: RNAcentral
CUAGGCGUCGAGCGGCGGACGGGUGAGUAACGCGUAGGAACCUACCCGAUAGUUGGGGAUAGCCCGGAGAAAUCCGGAUUAAUACCGAAUAAUCUCUACGGAGGAAAGGGGGCUUCGGCUCUCGCUAUUGGAUGGGCCUGCGUCGGAUUAGCUAGUUGGUGAGGUAACUGCUCACCAAGGCGACGAUCCGUAGCUGUUCUGAGAGGAUGAUCAGCCACACUGGGACUGAGACACGGCCCAGACUCC